UACGAAGGGGGCUAGCGUUGUUCGGAAUCACUGGGCGUAAAGCGCACGUAGGCGGGUCGUUAAGUCAGGGGUGAAAUCCCAGAGCUCAACUCUGGAACUGCCUUUGAUACUGGCGACCUCGAGGCCGGAAGAGGUUAGUGGAAUUCCCAGUGUAGAGGUGAAAUUCGUAGAUAUUGGGAAGAACACCAGUGGCGAAGGCGGCUAACUGGUCCGGUACUGACGCUGAGGUGCGAAAGCGUGGGGAGCAAACAGG
This 253-nucleotide ribosomal RNA is filed under the name uncultured bacterium. RNAcentral describes it as "partial 16S ribosomal RNA". It matches the Rfam family "Bacterial small subunit ribosomal RNA", at positions 524 to 776 of the family's 1533-position model. The record is from RNAcentral.